RNAcentral lists this long non-coding RNA (1482 nucleotides) under Homo sapiens (human). Its description in RNAcentral is "long intergenic non-protein coding RNA 2347". The record is from RNAcentral. Lineage: Eukaryota; Metazoa; Chordata; Mammalia; Primates; Hominidae.
GCAGAAAGUGAAAAAACAAGAAUUCUAACCCAGACAACUCAGCUUCUACUUCCCUUCUGAGGAAGUUCAUGACAGGGAGCUGCUGCAACUGAUGUGACUUUCAACUCUAAUAUCCCGAUGAUGUAAAUGCACUGAUCAGCUCAGCAGGAUUUAAGGUCUCAUCCGCUGAGCAGUGCCUCCUCCCGAUUCAGCACGUCCCUGGUGCCGACUUUCUGCACGUGUUCACUUUGAGGCUGCAUUGUGGGCCUGCAAGAAAUGCAAAGCUGGUUGAGGCUUUAUUCAAUUCAAAUUCAAGCUGUUAAAUCGAGGCUCUCAGACUCCUGCUGCCUGGCCAGUGGAGAAAUUAACUUUCACAUAUGGCUUUGGGAUUUCUCUCUGUCAUCCUGGUCGACGUGUUCUCUCAUUUUUCUGAAGUCUGGGACCUCAACACAGACAUCUGGGUGAAGGCCUUGACAGCAGCGCUGGUGCAAAAUGAAUUGUCACAUCACACCCAACGUUCUCAACCUUUAGAAUCUGAAAGUAAGAAAAACACCUCAAACAAAACAUUAAAGAUUGAAUAAUUGAAGGCACUAUGCUUGGUGCUGAAGAAGGUCUAAGGAGGUCUACACCACAGAGGCUGCACCCACUCCUCAGCCUUGCUGAGCCACACCAUUCUCAUCUCUACAGCAUCCACCUCUCUUGGCUCUUGUAAGGAUUGAGACAUGCCACCAGGCUUACUAUUGAUUCUGAGUAAUCAGCACAGAUUUCUAAAAGAAACUUUAUGGGAUGCUGAGACAUGAAUAAAAACAACUUUAUUCCUUUGGAAAGGACAACCCACAUGCUAAGAAGAUGACACUACACGUUGUUAUAGCCCGAAAGGCCCUCUUUCCACAGGGGAGCAGUGAAAAGUAGAGGUUGCCCAUGUGGAUUCCCAAGUCAGAUAGAUGUGGAUUCAGAUCCCAGCUCUGCUGCUUGCUACCCAAGAGACCAUGGACUGUGGACUCUUUAGGUCUCAGGGUUUUUGUUUGUUGUCUGUUUUUCACUUCCAAAACCAGAAAAUGAGAAGAUAUUUUCCAUAAGAUGGCGGUGGAGAAGAGAACUUGAUGGACCUUGCUUGGACAAAAUGCCUUCACCGCUAACUCAGUCAGCUAUGGCGAUGGGUCAAGGACCUGGUGGUUUUACAGAGAAGACCCUUGGUCAAAUCUUUGUGAAUGAAGCAACCAUUCUGAUGUUCAAUAACAGGAAUGCACCAGUUUAUACCAAACUAUCUGUACUAUUGAGAACAGCAAAAAUAUCUGACCAAAAACACCAAAGAGUGACAUUUUAAAAGACAUCAAAGAACUCUCAAGGCUUCCAGAGUUGGAAAGAUCAAGAAAGAGAGAAUGCAACUUCAUUAAGACACAAAAAGGAACAGGAUACAGAAGUGGAGGCAGUUCAGCGAAAAAGAUGAGAAGAAGGAGAAUGUCCACAAAUAAAUUUCACUUAUAAAAGUUCAGAUAAAAA